GCGUCGUUAACUCAGAGGCCAGAGUGCCGCCCUGUCCAGGCGGGAGCCGCGGGUUCGAAUCCCGCACGACGCG
This 73-nucleotide transfer RNA is filed under the name Rhizobacter gummiphilus. Its description in RNAcentral is "Methylibium sp. NS21 tRNA". It matches the Rfam family "tRNA". From Rfam's summary of the family: Transfer RNA (tRNA) molecules are approximately 80 nucleotides in length. Their secondary structure includes four short double-helical elements and three loops (D, anti-codon, and T loops). Lineage: Bacteria; Pseudomonadati; Pseudomonadota; Betaproteobacteria; Burkholderiales; Sphaerotilaceae. The record is from Rfam by way of RNAcentral.